Molecule: ribosomal RNA, 372 nt
Filed under: uncultured bacterium
Lineage: Bacteria
Description: bacterial SSU rRNA
Rfam family: Bacterial small subunit ribosomal RNA
Source: RNAcentral
AGUAACACGUGGGUAACCUGCCCUGUACUCUGGGAUAAGCCUUGGAAACGAGGUCUAAUACCGGAUACGACUUCUGAUCGCAUGAUCGGGAGUGGAAAGUUCCGGCGGUAUGGGAUGGACCCGCGGCCUAUCAGCUUGUUGGUGGGGUAAUGGCCUACCAAGGCGACGACGGGUAGCCGGCCUGAGAGGGCGACCGGCCACACUGGGACUGAGACACGGCCCAGACUCCUACGGGAGGCAGCAGUGGGGAAUAUUGGACAAUGGGGGCAACCCUGAUCCAGCCAUGCCGCGUGAGUGACGAAGGCCUUAGGGUUGUAAAGCUCUUUCACCGGUGACGAUAGUGACGGUAGCCGGAGAAGAAGCCCCGGCUAA